CUCAAAUUUAUAAUCUGGCACCUUCGGUGUCCGAGUUGUAAUCUCUAGAAAUGUUUUCCGCGCUGGACCGCACACAAGUCUGUUGGAAUACAGCGGCAUAGUGGUGAGACCCCCGUAUAUGGUGCGGACGCCCAGCGCUUUGUGAUACAUUUUCGAAGAGUCGAGUUGUUUGGGAAUGCAGCUCAAAUUGGGUGGUAAAUUCCAUCUAAAGCUAAAUAUUGGCGAGAGACCGAUAGCGAACAAGUACCGUGAGGGAAAGAUGAAAAGCACUUUGGAAAGAGAGUUAACAGUACGUGAAAUUGUUGGAAGGGAAACGCUUGAAGUCAGACUUGCUUGCCGAGCAAUCGGUUUGCAGGCCAGCAUCAGUUUUCCGGGAUGGAUAAUGGUAGAGAGAAGGUAGCAGUUUCGGCUGUGUUAUAGCUCUCUGCUGGAUACAUCUUGGGGGACUGAGGAACGCAGUGUGCCUUUGGCGGGGGUUUCGACCUCUUCACACUUAGGAUGCUGGUGGAAUGGCUUUAAACGACCCGUCUUGAA
RNAcentral lists this ribosomal RNA (534 nucleotides) under Rhodotorula mucilaginosa. Its description in RNAcentral is "partial large subunit ribosomal RNA". It matches the Rfam family "Eukaryotic large subunit ribosomal RNA", at positions 108 to 658 of the family's 3401-position model. Lineage: Eukaryota; Fungi; Basidiomycota; Microbotryomycetes; Sporidiobolales; Sporidiobolaceae. The record is from RNAcentral.